This 121-nucleotide ribosomal RNA is filed under the name Amanita muscaria (fly agaric). Its description in RNAcentral is "5.8S ribosomal RNA". It matches the Rfam family "5.8S ribosomal RNA", at positions 1 to 121 of the family's 154-position model. From Rfam's summary of the family: 5.8S ribosomal RNA (5.8S rRNA) is a component of the large subunit of the eukaryotic ribosome. It is transcribed by RNA polymerase I as part of the 45S precursor that also contains 18S and 28S rRNA. Functionally, it is thought that 5.8S rRNA may be involved in ribosome translocation. The record is from RNAcentral. Lineage: Eukaryota; Fungi; Basidiomycota; Agaricomycetes; Agaricales; Amanitaceae.
AACUUUCAACAACGGAUCUCUUGGCUCUCGCAUCGAUGAAGAACGCAGCGAAAUGCGAUAAGUAAUGUGAAUUGCAGAAUUCAGUGAAUCAUCGAAUCUUUGAACGCAUCUUGCGCUCCUU